Molecule: ribosomal RNA, 253 nt
Filed under: uncultured bacterium
Lineage: Bacteria
Description: partial 16S ribosomal RNA
Rfam family: Bacterial small subunit ribosomal RNA
Source: RNAcentral
UACGGAGGGUGCAAGCGUUAUCCGGAAUCACUGGGUUUAAAGGGUGCGUAGGCGGCUUAGUAAGUCAGUGGUGAAAGGCUGUGGCUUAACCAUGGAAUUGCCAUUGAUACUGCUGAGCUUGAAUGAGGUUGAGGUUGGCGGAAUGUGACAUGUAGCGGUGAAAUGCUUAGAUAUGUCAUGGAACACCGAUUGCGAAGGCAGCUGACUGGACCUAUAUUGACGCUGAGGCACGAAAGCGUGGGGAGCGAACAGG